This is a long non-coding RNA of Dicentrarchus labrax (European seabass), 563 nucleotides long. RefSeq lists it as uncharacterized. Lineage: Eukaryota; Metazoa; Chordata; Actinopteri; Moronidae. The transcript is spliced from 2 exons. The record is from RefSeq and is a predicted model, not a curated record.
AUUCGACGGAAUUAAAGUUUGUUUUUGCUCUGAGUGAGCUUGAAGAGGGAGAAAUGGAGCCCACUACAUCAACCGAACUGAGGGAUGACAGAAGAAAGGGAAACAGCAGAGAGGUGAUUGAUCCCGUCAGUGUUCUUCCCGAAUCGUCCAGAUGCAAGGUGGAUCCUGAAAAUAUGCUUGGCAUUGUGGGUAUUGUGGGCACAGUUCUCAACCUGCUUGUAGUGGUGUUAGUGUAUAUCUACACACCUAUCUGACAUCACUGACUGUAUGGAUGGAUUUAUGGUGAAGCUGUUGGAGUGGAAGGACAGAUGUAUGAAUGGGACAUCACCUAAUUGAUGAAUGGAAGGAAGGACAACCAGAGGGAAGUGGCAGAGUGCUUUGAUCCUAGGAGGGUGAUUUAGUAAUACCACAUACUAUAAGAAUACAAAGAAAGGCAUUCUCUGACAUUGUUAGUGCUGAGGAUAAUUUAUUGGGAUUUAACCUUUGUAGUUAUGUUUGUAACUAUGUCACCUUGAAGCUAAAGUCCCUUUCUAUGAAGCAGUAAAUGUUUGACCAACAUUGUA